AAGUCGUAACAAGGUUUCCGUAGGUGAACCUGCGGAAGGAUCAUUUGUGAAAAUUUAAUGUUUUUUUUGAAGAGGAGUAAAAUCCUUUUUAGAAAAACAUAAAAAAGAGAUCUUGUGGUUUAUAAAUGAUUUUUAAAAAAUUGUUUGUUGUUGAAAAAUGACAAACAAUUAUAUUUUUAAAAUCAAUAUUUUAUAAAAAACUAUUUUAAACAUGUAUUUAAAAAAUUAACAGUUUUAAAAAAAUAAAUUAAAAAAAAAUUAAAACUGUCAACGGUGGAUCUCUUGGCUCGU
RNAcentral lists this unclassified non-coding RNA (291 nucleotides) under fungal sp. RNAcentral's name for it is "partial internal transcribed spacer region". The stretch from base 1 to 46 matches the Rfam family "Eukaryotic small subunit ribosomal RNA", at positions 1786 to 1831 of the family's 1831-position model. The record is from RNAcentral. Lineage: Eukaryota; Fungi.